RNAcentral lists this ribosomal RNA (473 nucleotides) under uncultured bacterium. Its description in RNAcentral is "bacterial SSU rRNA". It matches the Rfam family "Bacterial small subunit ribosomal RNA", at positions 28 to 507 of the family's 1533-position model. The record is from RNAcentral.
GGCUAACGCUGGCGGCGUGUCUUAGCCAUGCAAGUCGAGCGGACUUAUGGGGUAACUUAUAAGUCAGCGGCGGACGGCGGAGUAACACGUAGCUAACCUACCCUCUGGACGGGGAUAACCUACCGAAAGGUGGGCUAAUACCCGAUGUAGUCAUCCUGUAUAGGGGUGAUGAAAGGUGGGCUUCUGUUUACAAGCUCAUGCUGGAGGAGGGGGCUGCGGCCUAUCAGGUAGUUGGUAGGGUAAUAGCCUACCAAGCCGAUGACGGGUAGCCGGCCUGAGAGGGUGGUCCCCCACAUGGGAACUGAGACACGGUCCCAACUCCUACGGGAGGCAGCAGUAAGGAAUAUUGCACAAUGGGCGCAAGCCUGAUGCAGCAACGCCGCGUGCCCGAGGACGGCCUUCGGGUUGUAAAGGGCUUUUCUGGCUGACGAGGAAGGACGGUAGGCCAGGAAUAAGCGUCGGCUAACUACGUG